Molecule: ribosomal RNA, 563 nt
Filed under: Salmonella enterica
Lineage: Bacteria; Pseudomonadati; Pseudomonadota; Gammaproteobacteria; Enterobacterales; Enterobacteriaceae
Description: partial 23S ribosomal RNA
Rfam family: Bacterial large subunit ribosomal RNA
Source: RNAcentral
ACUUAUAUUCUGUAGCAAGGUUAACCGUAUAGGGGAGCCGAAGGGAAACCGAGUCUUAACCGGGCGUUAAGUUGCAGGGUAUAGACCCGAAACCCGGUGAUCUAGCCAUGGGCAGGUUGAAGGUUGGGUAACACUAACUGGAGGACCGAACCGACUAAUGUUGAAAAAUUAGCGGAUGACCUGUGGCUGGGGGUGAAAGGCCAAUCAAACCGGGAGAUAGCUGGUUCUCCCCGAAAGCUAUUUAGGUAGCGCCUCGUGAAUUCAUCUCCGGGGGUAGAGCACUGUUUCGGCUAGGGGGCCAUCCCGGCUUACCAACCCGAUGCAAACUGCGAAUACCGGAGAAUGUUAUCACGGGAGACACACGGCGGGUGCUAACGUCCGUCGUGAAGAGGGAAACAACCCAGACCGCCAGCUAAGGUCCCAAAGUCAUGGUUAAGUGGGAAACGAUGUGGGAAGGCCCAGACAGCCAGGAUGUUGGCUUAGAAGCAGCCAUCAUUUAAAGAAAGCGUAAUAGCUCACUGGUCGAGUCGGCCUGCGCGGAAGAUGUAACGGGGCUAAACCAU